RNAcentral lists this ribosomal RNA (484 nucleotides) under uncultured bacterium. RNAcentral's name for it is "bacterial SSU rRNA". It matches the Rfam family "Bacterial small subunit ribosomal RNA", at positions 30 to 507 of the family's 1533-position model. The record is from RNAcentral.
AUUGAACGCUGGCGGCAGGCCUAACACAUGCAAGUCGAGCGGAUGAAGGGAGCUUGCUCUCUGAUUCAGCGGCGGACGGGUGAGUAAUGCCUAGGAAUCUGCCUGGUAGUGGGGGACAACGUUUCGAAAGGAACGCUAAUACCGCAUACGUCCUACGGGAGAAAGCAGGGGACCUUCGGGCCUUGCGCUAUCAGAUGAGCCUAGGUCGGAUUAGCUAGUUGGUGAGGUAAUGGCUCACCAAGGCAACGAUCCGUAACUGGUCUGAGAGGAUGAUCAGUCACACUGGAACUGAGACACGGUCCAGACUCCUACGGGAGGCAGCAGUGGGGAAUAUUGGACAAUGGGCGAAAGCCUGAUCCAGCCAUGCCGCGUGUGUGAAGAAGGUCUUCGGAUUGUAAAGCACUUUAAGUUGGGAGGAAGGGCAGUAAGCUAAUAUCUUGCUGUUUUGACGUUACCGACAGAAUAAGCACCGGCUAACUUCGUG